Sapajus apella (tufted capuchin) is the source of this 146-nucleotide long non-coding RNA. RefSeq lists it as uncharacterized. Lineage: Eukaryota; Metazoa; Chordata; Mammalia; Primates; Cebidae. The record is from RefSeq and is a predicted model, not a curated record. The transcript has 3 exons.
AUUUACAGAAGCCAAGGCCAGCAGUUAUUGUGAGGAGAAUGGGGCAGCCAUUACAACUUAAUUUUGGAAAACAGCUUUGUCUUGUAUAAAAUGGCAUUGCUCAGGUUCUAACUUUAGGCUAGCUAUGCUGGAGGAAGCUUAAGGCC